RNAcentral lists this ribosomal RNA (217 nucleotides) under uncultured bacterium. Its description in RNAcentral is "partial 16S ribosomal RNA". It matches the Rfam family "Bacterial small subunit ribosomal RNA", at positions 328 to 539 of the family's 1533-position model. The record is from RNAcentral.
ACGCUCGACACCUACGGGAGGCAGCAGUGAGGAAUAUUGGUCAAUGGACGCAAGUCUGAACCAGCCAUGCCGCGUGCAGGAUGACGGCUCUAUGAGUUGUAAACUGCUUUUGUACGAGGGUAAACGCAGAUACGUGUAUCUGUCUGAAAGUAUCGUACGAAUAAGGAUCGGCUAACUCCGUGCCAGCAGCCGUGGUAAUCUGAGCGGCUGGCAAGGC